RNAcentral lists this ribosomal RNA (253 nucleotides) under uncultured bacterium. Its description in RNAcentral is "partial 16S ribosomal RNA". It matches the Rfam family "Bacterial small subunit ribosomal RNA", at positions 524 to 776 of the family's 1533-position model. The record is from RNAcentral.
GACGUAGGGCGCGAGCGUUGUCCGGAAUUACUGGGCGUAAAGGGCGCGUAGGCGGCCUUCUAAGUCGAACGUGAAAUCCCCGGGCUCAACCCGGGAACUGCGUCCGAUACUGGGAGGCUUGAAUCCGGGAGAGGGAUGCGGAAUUCCAGGUGUAGCGGUGAAAUGCGUAGAUAUCUGGAGGAACACCGAUGGCGAAGGCAAUCCCCUGGGCCUGCACUGACGCUCAUGCACGAAAGCGUGGGGAGCAAACAGG